AUAAUAUAAGGCGAUGGAGUUCGCCAGGCAAGAAAACAUAACAAGAUUGCCUAACCGCCAAGUGCUAAUGACUCCUGUUGACUU
RNAcentral lists this non-coding RNA (84 nucleotides) under Dethiosulfatibacter aminovorans. RNAcentral's name for it is "Fluoride sequence". It matches the Rfam family "Fluoride riboswitch aptamer (crcB RNA motif)". Lineage: Bacteria; Bacillati; Bacillota; Tissierellia. The record is from RNAcentral. RNAcentral also lists the same sequence under 1 other name.